This 583-nucleotide long non-coding RNA is filed under the name Fukomys damarensis (Damara mole-rat). RNAcentral's name for it is "lncRNA (ENSFDAG00000024664.1)". Lineage: Eukaryota; Metazoa; Chordata; Mammalia; Rodentia; Bathyergidae. The record is from RNAcentral.
CGGCAGCCGCCUAUGCUCGACCCUCCGAGCCGGAGGGCGGAACAGAUCGCUGUAGUGCCUUGGAAGUGGAGAAAAAGUUACUCAAGACAGCUUUCCAGCCCGUGCCCAGGCGGGCCCAGAACCACCUGGACGCCGCUCUGGUCUUAUCAGCUCUCUCCUCAUCCUAGCUUGUUUAAAAAUAAAAAUUUUUAAAAAAAGAAAGAAAGGAAAGAAAGACGAAAGAAAUUUUAAAUUGUUGUAAUAAUUGUAAAAAAAAAAUCCCUCUGUAUAGUUAACGACUUGCAAGCAUGUCCGUGUAUGAAUACCCAAAAAGAGAACUUAACAAAAAGAAAGAAAAAGAAAUAAAACCUGUCCCCCUCGAACUUCAAGUCGCUUCUGUGCCACCCCACAUUCGAUGUGACUGUGAGGUGCUUUGUUCGGUUGAUGGGGGGGAGGGUGUUCAUGGAGAAUAAGCAUAUCUGACAUUUUUGUAUAUACAGAUAAAUGUACAUAUGUGUGAACCAAAUUGUACAAGAAAGUAUCUAUUUUUGGCUAAAUAAAUGAGCUGUUGCCACUUUGACUAUACAACCGGCCUGUCUGCCCA